UACGAAGGGGGCUAGCGUUGCUCGGAAUGGCUGGGCGUAAAGGGCGCGUAGGCGGUUUGCACAGUCAGGCGUGAAAGUUCCUGGGCUUCAACCUGGGGGCUGCGGCUUGAUACGUGUGGACUGGAGUGCGGAAGAGGGUCGUGGAAUUCCCAGUGUAGAGGUAGAAAUUCGUAGAUAUUGGGAAGAACACCGGUGGCGAAGGCGGCGACCUGGUCCGUGACUGACGCUGAGGCGCGAAAGCGUGGGGAGCAAACAGGG
RNAcentral lists this ribosomal RNA (258 nucleotides) under uncultured bacterium. RNAcentral describes it as "partial 16S ribosomal RNA". It matches the Rfam family "Bacterial small subunit ribosomal RNA", at positions 524 to 777 of the family's 1533-position model. The record is from RNAcentral.